Long non-coding RNA from Glycine soja, 942 nucleotides. RefSeq lists it as uncharacterized. NCBI's taxonomy places the organism in Eukaryota, Viridiplantae, Streptophyta, Magnoliopsida, Fabales, Fabaceae. The record is from RefSeq and is a predicted model, not a curated record. The transcript has 3 exons.
UCUAUUCUCCCACACCAAACCCCUCUCUCCUCAAUCCUAAUAAUGUCAAUUCUCAGUGCUCUCUCAUCUUCAUCACUACUCCACCAUCUUAUUUGCCACGCCGCUAUUCUCAAAGUAGAAGAUUCGUAUUUCGUAGCGCUCUUCACCUCCUCUUUCCUUCAUGUGCUGAUUACACUUCCCUUGCACACUGCCCAAAAUUGUGUCUAGUCUCUUACAUUCCCUCCUAGGUUUCUUAAUUUACCCCCAUGUUGUUAUGGAUUUAUAUCUACCACUGGUGCUGCAUGUGGCCAGCUCCAAGGUGUAUCAUGCUUUGCAAUUUGACAACUGAGGAUGCUCUUAGCUGCAACUAUAAUGAUUGCAUAUGAAUUGCUUUGAAAGUGCUAUCAUGGCACCACCAAGGUGACAGAUGAGCUAGUGCAGAUCAUCCUUGGUCAGGUCUGGAACUUGGAGUUUCAAAGGCCUUUCUUGAGUUUACUUGUGACUAUACCUGAAUACAUUCUAUCAGGUAGUCACAACCUUCAGCGCUAUUUUUGGUGCCGUAAAAGAUGUUGGAAUCCAACAUGUUCCUCUAAACCCAAGAGCUUGAUAGCUGUUGGGGAUUGGAUGAGGCCUUAUUGGGUACUAUUGAUUCCAGUUCCCCCGACAGUGUCGCUUCAUCAGUGGCAUCCAAGGAAACAUUGUUUCCAGGAGAAAUCGGAGGAAGAAGCUCAAUGAAAGGCUUCUUACGCUUAGAUCGGUGGGGCUCCUUACAUUAGCAAGGUAAGCACCAUGCUUGUCUUAAUUUGGUGGUUGAUUAAUUCAUUAAUAAUAACUAGCUAAUACUGUUCAUCUGGUGUGCACAUAUAAAAUUUUGAAUUGGGUAGAAGAGCAGUACUACUGCAGUAAUUGGGAGUGUUGUAGAAUCAUGGGAUGAUUUGGUACUUUUUUUUUUUACAGGAAAAU